UACGUAGGGGGCAAGCGUUGUCCGGAUUUAUUGGGCGUAAAGAGCGUGUAGGCGGCUAGGUAGGUCCGUUGUGAAAACUCGAGGCUCAACCUCGAGACGUCGAUGGAAACCAUCUAGCUAGAGUCCGGAAGAGGAGAGUGGAAUUCCUGGUGUAGCGGUGAAAUGCGACAGAUAUCAGGAAGAACACCCGUGGCGAAGGCGGCUCUCUGGUACGUGACUGGACGC
RNAcentral lists this ribosomal RNA (225 nucleotides) under uncultured bacterium. RNAcentral describes it as "partial 16S ribosomal RNA". It matches the Rfam family "Bacterial small subunit ribosomal RNA", at positions 524 to 746 of the family's 1533-position model. The record is from RNAcentral.